Long non-coding RNA from Micropterus salmoides (largemouth bass), 1092 nucleotides. RefSeq lists it as uncharacterized. The record is from RefSeq and is a predicted model, not a curated record. The transcript has 3 exons. NCBI's taxonomy places the organism in Eukaryota, Metazoa, Chordata, Actinopteri, Centrarchiformes, Centrarchidae.
UUCAGUCAUGGGGAACUUCUAACUUGGCCAUUGUCCAGGAGACACUUCAUGACACUCUCCACAAGGAGGGUAAGCCACAAAAAAUCAUAACUUGAAAAGAUUGUCAGGCAAAGUCGAUUCAUGAACUCAGGGGAGCUUAACAAGGAGUGGACUGAAGGCUGGGGUCAGUGCAUCAAGAGCCACCACACACAGAUGUGUUCAGGAUAUGAGCUACAAGUGUGGCACUCCUACACCACUAGGAAGCCACCACCACAACUCAGUGGUCCAAAGUCCUCUUUUCAGAUGAAAGUAAAUCUGCAUUUCAUUUGGAAGUCAGGGUCCCAGAGUCUGGAGGACAAGUGGAGAGGCACAGAAUCCAAGUUGCUUGGCAGUCAGUGAUGAUUUGAGGUGCCAUGUCAUCUGCUGGUGUUGGUCCACUGUGUUUUAUCAAGUCCAGAGUCAAUGCUUUGUCUACCAGGAGAUUUCAGAGCACGUCAUGCUUCCAUCUGCUGACAGGCUUUAUGGAGAUGCUGAUGUUCUUUUCCAGCAGGACUUGGCACCUGCCCACACUGUCUAGUAACUGGUUUGCUGACCAUGAUAUUACUGUGCUUGGUUGACCAGCCAACUCGCCUGACUUGAACCCCAAAGAGAAUCUGGGUUAAGUUGAGAGGAAAAUGAGAGACACCAGACCAACAAUACAGACAAGCUGAAGGCCGCUAUCAAAGAAACCUGGACUUCCAUAACACCUCAGCAGGUCCACAGGCUGAUUGCCUCCAUGCCACGCUGCAAAAUUAACCUUUUUCAGAAGUUUUUCAACUUUUCAAAAGUCUGUGGGAGCAAGGCACUUUUUGGCGAGGGAUGGAAGGAGAUGGACCAAACCCUUUUAUGUUCAUAGUUCGGCCUUCUUAUCCUUGCUGGAGUUUUCAGAUCCGCUGACGAUCCACACCUGCACCUCGUCAGCCACCUCCUCUGCCUGCCACACCUGCCAGCAAUCAGCCUCAUCUCUGCCAGUACUUCAACCCCGAAGUGAUUGAUCGUCGUUGCUCCUAACCUGGUGACACUUCAUCGCUCAAGCUCCUGAGUAAUCUGCAUCAUCUCUGUUUCCCUGUACUU